CGCGAAUGGCUCAUUACAACAGCUAUAAUUUACUUGAUCUUGACACAAUCCUACUUGGAUAACUGUGGUAAUUCUAGAGCUAAUACAUGCAUUAAAGCUCCGACCUCACGGGAAGAGUGCAUUUAUUAGAACAAAACCAAGCGGCUUCGGCUGUUUUCGGUUGACUCAUAGUAACUGAGCUGAUCGCAUGGGCUUGUCCCGGCGACGUGUCUUUCAAGUAUCUGCCGUAUCAACUUUCGAUGGUAGUGUAUCUGACUACCAUGGUGAUCACGCGUAACGGAGAAUAAGGGUUCGGCUCCGGAGAGUUCGCCUGAGAAAUCGCGAACACAUCUAAGGAAGGCAGCAGGCGCGAAAAUUACCCACUCUCAGCACGAGGAGGUAGUGACGAAAAAUAACGAGACCGUUCUCUUAUGAGGCCGGUCAUCGGAAUGGGUACAAUUUAAGCCCUUUAACGAGUAUCUAUGAGAGGGCAAGUCUGGUGCCGGCAGCCGCGGUAAUUCCAGCU
The sequence is a ribosomal RNA, 505 nucleotides long. It matches the Rfam family "Eukaryotic small subunit ribosomal RNA", at positions 88 to 590 of the family's 1831-position model.